GGCCAGUUAGCUCAGUCAGUAGAGCGUAGCGCUAACAGCGCUAAGGUCGCGGGUUCGAUUACCAUUUGGUCC
Molecule: non-coding RNA, 72 nt
Organism: Apaloderma vittatum (bar-tailed trogon)
Lineage: Eukaryota; Metazoa; Chordata; Aves; Trogoniformes; Trogonidae
Source: Rfam